Molecule: ribosomal RNA, 253 nt
Filed under: uncultured bacterium
Lineage: Bacteria
Description: partial 16S ribosomal RNA
Rfam family: Bacterial small subunit ribosomal RNA
Source: RNAcentral
UACAGAGGUCUCAAGCGUUGUUCGGAUUCAUUGGGCGUAAAGCGCGUGUAGGCGGCCCGGUAAGUCCGCUGUGAAAGUCCAGGGCUCAACCCUGGGAUGCCGGUGGAUACUGCCGGGCUCGAGUCCGGAAGAGGCGAGUGGAAUUCCUGGUGUAGCGGUGAAAUGCGCAGAUAUCAGGAGGAACACCAAUGGCGAAGGCAGCUCGCUGGGACGUGACUGACGCUGAGACGCGAAAGCGUGGGGAGCAAACAGG